Molecule: long non-coding RNA, 1874 nt
Organism: Cygnus olor (mute swan)
Lineage: Eukaryota; Metazoa; Chordata; Aves; Anseriformes; Anatidae
Exons: 3
Source: RefSeq, a predicted model, not a curated record
AAUAUGGGUAAGAGGACCUUGUGAGCUUAGUGACAUUGGUGUGAGUCCAGAUGCAGUACAAGGUUGGUCAGUCAGCUUCUCAAAUUCUUAAAGAGACUUUGAAUGCAUGUAUGCAUUUGGAAACCUGUUUUUACCAAAAAUAUUUGAACCUGAAAUGCCUGAUUCAUAUCCCAACAAACUGAUUUGACAGUAGAAAAGGGGGCUGUAGCUGGUUCACGUGCAAGGCAUAUUCCUUUCCCUACAGGAUCCCAGUGGAAGAGUUGGUGGAUUGAUAAGAUAAGAAUGAGGUAUAGAUUGUGAGAGACGGGCUGACAAAAAAAAUGAUACUAUAUGCUUAGUUUUUAGCUAGUCUAGAGAUGUAAUUUUUCUUUGCUUAUGUGCCUGAUGAUGAUUAGGUGCCAGUUUUCUCUCCAUAUAACAGAAGAGGUGAAUUUCAAGAGUAUGAUUUGAAGGAGGCUGUGGGGGGUGGCUGUGUUUUCUUAAAUACAAGUUUUAUCAGGUCAACAGACUGUUUUCUCUCUGUAGUUCACAAAACUCUACAGUAAUAUUUUUUCUUCCCACAGUACUAUGAAAAAAGUUUUUGGCUUCAGUUCAUGUGUGAAACCUUUUGCACAACAAAAGUGGUUUCUUGUGGCCAGUAAGAGUAAAUGUUCUGAGCAUUCCAGGAAGCAUAUAAAUAGAUCGGUACCCUUCCUAAGGUUAUGUAGCUUUAUUUCUCUCUUUUUUUUCUUUGUUUCUUUCUUUCUUUCUUUCCUGUCCCCCCACCUUCCAUUAAUGCUGUCUUUAUCUAGGCAAAGACCAAGCAGAGUACAGUGUUUGAAAAUCUUGACUAUCAUUUUCCAUUUUACUUGGGUUUGCCUUAGUUAUAUUUUCUGAAAAGGAAUUGUUUAAGUAAAUGCAACAUAGUAAAUUAUCUUAAAUUACUUCUUACAGUCCAGGCUAGUAUUAUAACAGGAAAAUUGUUACUUGGAGUCUCCCACGCCCCCGGCUGCUGCAGACCUAUGUCUCCAGGCUGAGGAGAAACCGAUCACAGUACUUAUCCAGCAGAGUCUGCAAGCCAAUCCACAAUGUGGAAAGUGGAGUUUACAUAAAGGAGAUCUCUUAUCCUUCCCCCUCAAUCCCACUAGAUACAGUAAAGCUGUAGUGAUGGUCAAAUAUAAUUAAAACAGUGAUUCUGCACUGAAGGGUAGGCAUAUAUCUAUGCAGAAACCAGAUGAGAAAUUAUUCAAGCCAAAAACAUUAAAUCUCAUCUCAUCCGUGGAUACUAUAAAACAACCAUCCUGUUUCUUUGAUCUAUGAUAUUUGAAUCUGAAUGUGUUAAUAAGACAUAUAUGUUGGGCAUCAACUUUGUCUUCUGUUGAACAAGGGUAAACAUUGCAUUUGUCUCUGUAAAAAUAUACUUCAAUAGCUGGGAAGAAAGUGGAGAUUCAUUAUUUUUGCAGUUGUAGAAGACAUUUAGCAGCUGUGUUUAUACUGGCAGACAAUUUGGAUAUUAGGUGGCAGGACAGAGAACUGCAGAUGCACAAUAUUGUGCAGACAUUGUGCACUUACAGCCCAUUUCCAGGGAAACAUGUUAUUUUAUAUUUCCCUGGGUGUCAUUAAUCACAUUUCAUGAUGUAUCUCACUAUUUCAACUCAUUCCCCUAGAUUCUUUCAUUUUUUGGCCUGUUUAUUUAAUAGUUAUUGAGCUCCAUUUCAACAAAUUCCAUCUCAACUACAGAUAAUAAAGUUCUUUUUGCUUCAGGGGAGAAAAUUAAGACGGCCCUGUACUGAUUACUGAGACUACCUGUAAUAAUCAGCAUGUCUACUACAUUGGAAAAAUAUUUUGUUUGCAUUUGGUCAGAAAAAUGUUCAUACUGUUCUUUGCUAUUUAAA